ACGUUCAGAACCUCGCCCUGUUCCAACCAGUCGUCCCUGCCCGUCAACCUAACCGCCUUCCUCACUGAGCUCCUUUACCAGCAAGACAGCAACUUCAACCCCCUGCUACUCCCGCUCCAGUUUCGGUGCUCUGCUCCAGCUAGUUCAUUUGGCCAACUGAAUGCGCUCCAGAGUAGCAUAGUUCUGUACAAUCUAACAACUCACUGCACAGAUCUGGACCCCCAGAUCUCUGCUGCCUUAGCCGCUAACUUUGGCGACGAGCUCACGACAGACGCCAUCGCUGCACUGAGCGAAGAGAGCGCCACUAGCAUUUCCGCCGGUCAGAUCAACGCCGCUAGUCCGCAAGUUCUGCUGGCCUCCCUGGGAAUCCUCAGCAGCGCGACUGGCUGGAACCAAGGCCAGGCCCUGGCAAUCGUCCAAGCCCUGACGUCCUCAGGAGAGCUACAGAUCACCAACCAAGCAACGUUAACUAUGUUGGGAUCUCUCGUGGUCGGCGUUCCCUCCUCGGUCUUCGGCAGCAUCUCGGGCACAGAGCUGAUCAGCGCUUCCAGGAUCCCACGUUCUUAACGCAUUUCAUCAGCGCACCAACGAUCGUCCAGCAGACCUUCGUCAAUCAGAUUAUAUCUGUCAACAGUAGCAGCACGGCAAUCAUAGACAACGUACCAGAUGCCCUGGCGACCGAGAUACCACGCUUCUUUCUGGUUU
This 705-nucleotide long non-coding RNA is filed under the name Gadus morhua (Atlantic cod). RNAcentral's name for it is "lncRNA (ENSGMOG00000027717.1)". Lineage: Eukaryota; Metazoa; Chordata; Actinopteri; Gadiformes; Gadidae. The record is from RNAcentral.